UACGGAGGGUGCAAGCGUUGUCCGGAAUCACUGGGCGUAAAGGGCGCGUAGGCGGCUCAUGAAGGCUGGGGUGAAAGUCCGGGGCUCAACCUCGGAUCGGCCGUGGCGACUCGUGGGCUGGAGCACUGUAGAGGCGGGUGGAAUUCCGGGUGUAGCGGUGGAAUGCGUAGAGAUCCGGAAGAACACCAGUGGCGAAGGCGGCCCGCUGGGCAGUGGCUGACGCUGAGGCGCGACAGCGUGGGGAGCAAACAGG
This 253-nucleotide ribosomal RNA is filed under the name uncultured bacterium. RNAcentral describes it as "partial 16S ribosomal RNA". It matches the Rfam family "Bacterial small subunit ribosomal RNA", at positions 524 to 776 of the family's 1533-position model. The record is from RNAcentral.